This 48-nucleotide non-coding RNA is filed under the name Trichobilharzia regenti. Lineage: Eukaryota; Metazoa; Platyhelminthes; Trematoda; Strigeidida; Schistosomatidae. The record is from RNAcentral.
AUCCAGAUGAUGAGUCCUAAAUAGGACGAAAUGCGCGAUACCCUGGAU